This 356-nucleotide long non-coding RNA is filed under the name Mytilus galloprovincialis (Mediterranean mussel). The record is from RNAcentral. Lineage: Eukaryota; Metazoa; Mollusca; Bivalvia; Mytilida; Mytilidae.
CCCCUUCCUUUUCAUGAAUGUGACCUACCGAAUUAGACUAUUUACCGGAUUUGUUAUCACAUAAGCAACACGACGGGUGCCACAUGUGGAGCAGGAUCUACUACAAAUCCUCCCGGAGCACCUGAGAUCACCCCUAGUUUUUGGUGGGGUUCGUGUUGUUUAUUCUUUAGUUUUCUAUGUUGUGUCAUGUGUACUAUUGUUUGUCUUUUUGUCUUUUUCAUUUUUAGCCAUGGCGUUGUCAGUUUAUUUUCGAUUUGUGAGUUUGACUGUCCCUUUGGUAUAUUUCGUCCCUCUUUUACAGUCAACCAUUUAUAUUUCUAAAAGUGUUGUGGAGAAUUUAGAAAACGUUUUCGAUU